This is a long non-coding RNA of Myotis davidii, 543 nucleotides long. RefSeq lists it as uncharacterized. The transcript has 3 exons. The record is from RefSeq and is a predicted model, not a curated record. Lineage: Eukaryota; Metazoa; Chordata; Mammalia; Chiroptera; Vespertilionidae.
ACCAGGGAAUGUGAAAGAAGGGGACACAUUUUUUUUAUUAAUUUGUUCUUCUAGUACCUUUUUGGGGUUCUUGCCUUGAAGUGUAUUAAAUCUCAUCCUUGCAGAAGUGGUUGAGUACCUGGAACCAGGUACGAUCUUGAAGAACAAAGUGAUGGAAGUGUUGAAGGAUCUGCUUCAUUGAAGGCAUCAAGACUAACAAAAAGUUGAGAGGAGCCUAUAUCAAACAUGGAGAAACUUCUAAUGACCUAGAUUGAUGACCAACACAGAAGCAUAUCCCUACAAACCCCAUAACAAUCAUGGCCAAAGCAAAAAGUUUGUUUGCGAUGUUGAAAGAAAAGGCUGAACUUGACUACAGUGUUGAAUUUACUGCUAACUCUGGGUGGUUUAAGUGAUUAAAGAAUUGUUAUUCAUUACAUCUUGUCAAAGUGAUUGGCCCCCACCUUGGAUCAUCUGCUGUGUGUUCAUUGAGCAAAACCCUGAGAAUAUAACAAUAUAAAGCAUGGGAAGCUUAAAAUUUAAUGAGGAAGAUAUAAAUAUAUAAAA